UUCCACGUGGCUGGGGAGGCCUCACAAUCAUAUCAGAAGAAUUAUAUGCUGGAUAUACAAGAGACUCAUGACCCAAACUGGGACAACAGGAAUGGCUUCCUGGAAGAAGAGACAUCUGAGCCCAGACCUGGAAGAAUAAGAGCCGGGUCUCCUUUCUGAAAAGUCUCACUUCAAGCCAUGGUGUAUAAAGACACAAAGCUGACUUACUGCUGGGUACGUGUGUCCAACAG
RNAcentral lists this long non-coding RNA (230 nucleotides) under Homo sapiens (human). RNAcentral describes it as "HSALNT0350928". Lineage: Eukaryota; Metazoa; Chordata; Mammalia; Primates; Hominidae. The record is from RNAcentral.